GUAUAAUUCAAUCUAAGAGCACGCGGUCGCCAUUUCACCAAAACCUCAAAAGACUACACACUCAAGUAAAGAAAAGCUUUGAAACUUUCGAAAUGGUUAUGCUGUAGUGAAGUAGAGUAAGGUAUGGUUAAAAGUAAACAAUUUUCACUUGUAGUGCUGUUUAAAUCGUAUUUGAUUGUACGGAGUAUGCUUUGAAUUUUUAGUCAUACAAUUUGUCAGUUAGUUAGCCGCCCGCUUAUCGACUUGUGUUCGCUUUAUAUAGCUGCCAAUUCCUUGAUAUUUCAGCCAAAUUUUGUUGUAAUAAUGUUUUACGGUACUAAGGUUUGAUUUGUCCGACUAAUAUUUGCUUGUUCUUCAAUUUUAGUUCGUAAAUGUCGACGAGAAAGUUAACUUGAGCGGCAGAGUAAGAGCUGUCGAAGACACGCGCGCUGGUAAGCAUGUUUUCUAGUUAAAUGUUGUUUGUUGUCUGUAGCUCGCUUUUCGAGCUUCUCCUUCCCCAACUAGAACACUGUGUAGCAUUAGCGACGUUUAAAGACGAUUUCGAGUUAGUUUAGUGUAGUUUUUGACCAUUUUUUUUCCGACGGAGAGCAAAAACGACCGUCUAUUAAUCGACCCUUAAGUUUAAGAUAAUUGUUCGAGUCGUGAAGAAUUAGUUAAGACAAUUAAGGAUUUAAGAUGAGCCUUGUGGUUUUGGAGUAGAUAUUAAAAUAUGUUAAAUUAAAACCCUUCUUAAAUACUUUGAGAUGGUAAAUUUGAAUUGUACUGUAAUAAUAAGACCGAAUUUGCACUGUAGCUAAUAAGUGAUUUAGUUCACGUCUGCUUGUUGGAUGCAUUUUAAAAUAGGGCAUAUCAAAUGGCAAGCACAAAGAGGACUUUUUAACUUUAAUACCUAAUGGGCUAUUUUACAGUAAGACAUUUAUGAAGUACAUAUAUAAGAACAAGGUGUCUAAAGCUGGCUUAUAUGUAUUCGUUUACCAAUGCUGGUUUAAUUUCUUUGAUGCAUGAAGUUUGAUUCAGCUAAAGUCAUUGAUGGGUGUGUCGCUAUAUGAUUUCACCAGUGGGUCAUGCUAUAUAGAUGCAGCUAAUUCAAUUAAUUAUAAGGUUGUCUCCGAAGGUCAAAAUCUUCGACCAGUCGACCUCAAGCGCGAAAUCAGUGAACAAUGGACGUCUCCAGGGCCGGAACUACGGGGCGGUUUUGGGGUGUAACACCCCCUCAAUGAAAAGUCAAAAGAGGGGGCCCAGCUUGCCCAGAGGGCCCCCCGGAAUGCUGGAUUGAGGUCGAAAAAGAUCUCAAAAAGUAUUUAUAAGCCCUGUUAUCUCAAACUAGUGUUUGGAAAAAUUUUUGGGACGUUUUUUGGGAAAAAACCGUCGACCUCCCCCCAUUUUUGCUGGAAAAAUUUUUGCUUUCCGGAAUUUUUUCUGGGAGGGGGGGGGGGCUGAGGGACGAGGGCCCCAACCAGAUACCGCUUGGCACUGCCCUGGGCGUCUUUAUUAUUAUUAUUAUGAGAUUUAUUUAUGCAUGCAUGUUAGGACGAUCUUGUUGUUAUCUUUUGCUAAUUAAGUAUGUGUAAUAUUUAUGCUAAUCGUUCAAGUGAAUUUAAUUUCCAAAGGAGUUAAGCGUGCUCAAAACAACAUUCUUCAAACGAGGAUCUCGGCAUGGAAACGACAAUCUUAAUCGAUCGAAUUAGCUGUAUAUAACUAUAAGCCUAAUUAGAGGUUAUCAGUUGUCAUCUAAAAUCCAAACCAAAACAGUGUAGUGUUUAUUGCACUUUCCCCCUACCAAAGUCCUCGUUUUCAUGUAGUUAUUAGAAACCUUACGAUGUGGAACGAUGUGGGCAACGUGACGAUGGCUAUUCACACAAUGAUAUUGGCCGUUUUUAUACUAGAGACGCAUUAUGCGUCCAGACGAACUUGGGUAAGCAUUUAUUCUUCGUCUGGUUAUGCGUUCUUGGUAUAAAAACUGGCACAAGACGCAUUAUACAUCUAAACACACUAUCAAUCAUAAUAUUUAAGAGAAAAAAUGAAUAAUUUGUAUACAACAGGAGUUUUAGACGUCGUCCAUGGUCUGUUUACAACAGGGAACAACAGACUUUUACGUCUUGGAUAAAGCCUGCAUUUUAAGACGUGAGGCGUAAAUAUACUCAGCAAAUUAGCUCAGUUCUACAGUAGAACUUUUUCAACAGUAAAUCCGGCUAACAAAACAGCUGUAUUAAAUUGAUAAGAUAAACAAUAGUCGAGAAACUUUCUUUAAGCCUGGUUCACAUUGAUUGGCGAUGUUCUACGAUCCAUUGUCUGUGAGCAACGAAGAAGAAAAUGCACAAAACAUUUUAUGCAUCAAUGACAACCGACAAUGGGCAUCGCCGAUGUUUACGAUCAAUGUGAACCAGGCUUUACAAUCGUUAUUUUGAAUGAUUUGAAUAUGCAUAUGGCCGCUAUCUUUGUCGUUGCGUUGCCGCCCUACAUAGUAAGGUCUCUAUUUUCUCGUGUUUCGUGAAGAAUAGGGCUAACGAUAGGCGUGCCAUGCUAAAACAGGCGAACUCGGAAACGAGGCAAUUUGGAAAAAAUUGCAACUAGUAAUCAGUACGUCUAUUCAAUCAUUUCAGGGGUUGGUGUUCCACUUUGUCAGUUCCAGACUUUUGACACUUAUAUACAUUUCUUUGCCAUAUUUCACAGUUUGUUACUGGAUGUUCAAUGGCCAAAUGUUAUAUCUGACGACGAAAUACUCAAAACAACAAAACCAAAUUGAGAAAGAUCAUUUGAAGAAGUAAAGAUCAGAAGAUAAAAGUGAACAUGUGCUCAGAAUGGAAAAUGACAGAACUUGUGUGACAGCAUUCAUGUGGAAAUCAGAACGUACUCAGAAGAAUAAAACUAAGAAAGAUAAGUGAAGGAGUACAUAUCAGAAUAAAGAAGUGGACAUCUACUCAUCAAUGGAAAAUGACUGUAAUUAUGUAACAGCAUUAACGUGAAAAAAACUUAAGGGACGAAGCAACGUGCGACGCCCAAGAACUCUGGAAAAAGAAAGUGUUGGAGAUCUCCAAAAGACAUUUAUUACUGGAUUGUUGGCAACGUUCGAAAGAGGGUUUCUUGAGGACCUUUGCAAAUGAAACCAAGCAUGCCAUUUUCUUUAAAUAUUAAUUUCAAAUUCAUGACCUAUUUCAAACGUUUUCAACUCAAAAUUUAAAUUCCAAAAUAUAUAUUUCCUGAAAUUUUAAA
This 3213-nucleotide long non-coding RNA is filed under the name Paramuricea clavata. Lineage: Eukaryota; Metazoa; Cnidaria; Anthozoa; Malacalcyonacea; Plexauridae. The record is from RNAcentral.